Molecule: small RNA, 562 nt
Filed under: uncultured Fusobacterium sp.
Lineage: Bacteria; Fusobacteriati; Fusobacteriota; Fusobacteriia; Fusobacteriales; Fusobacteriaceae
Description: bacterial SSU rRNA
Rfam family: Bacterial small subunit ribosomal RNA (bases 1-341)
Source: RNAcentral
CAUGCCCCUUAUACGCUGGGCUACACACGUGCUACAAUGGGUAGAACAGAGAGUCGCAAAGCUGUGAAGUGGAGCUAAUCUCAGAAAACUAUUCUUAGUUCGGAUUGUACUCUGCAACUCGAGUACAUGAAGUUGGAAUCGCUAGUAAUCGCGAAUCAGCAAUGUCGCGGUGAAUACGUUCUCGGGUCUUGUACACACCGCCCGUCACACCACGAGAGUUGGUUGCACCUGAAGUAGCAGGCCUAACCGUAAGGAGGGAUGCUCCGAGGGUGUGAUUAGCGAUUGGGGUGAAGUCGUAACAAGGUAUCCGUACGGGAACGUGCGGAUGGAUCACCUCCUUUCUAAGGAGUAUAAGUCUUUCUCUAUUCUAUUGGUAAUGUUCUUUACAUUACUUCUGAACAUUGGAAACUAUAUAGUAGAACAAACAAGAAAACAAAAAUUAACUCUAACAAUUUCUUAGAGUUAGCUGUCAAAAAAAAUAGGUUAAAAUAAUUAAGGGCACACAAAGGAUGCCUAGGUAGUAAGAGCCGAUGAAGGACGUGGUAAGCUGCGAUAAGCCUAG